GCUUGUUAACCUCCAGAUAUCAUAGUUUUGUUCAUUAACCAAUUAAAUUAAAGUUUAUAUCUUUUUAUUGCCAUGCAGCGCCGAGUAAUAGAGGUCCUAUGCCUGGACUGGAAACUUAUGCGCAAGGGAAACCACCAGCGCCUGUGCAGAAACCACCUGCUUCUAAUGGUGAAAAGAAGAAAGAUAAAGCACUAAGGAACAAGCCGGAUAAAAAUGGCAAGGAUACAAGUACUUCCAAUUAAUCGGCCAAUUCAGGAUCCAGAUAUAAAAUAAUUCUCUUAUUUGGAUUGAUCCAUGCCGAAGAAGAAUGAUAUGAGAAUCUACUGCAGACUUGCUAGUAUUUAUUAGUAAGUGUUAAGAGGUGGAAGGAAAUAUGGA
Molecule: non-coding RNA, 378 nt
Organism: Triticum urartu
Lineage: Eukaryota; Viridiplantae; Streptophyta; Magnoliopsida; Poales; Poaceae
Source: RefSeq, a predicted model, not a curated record